Molecule: unclassified non-coding RNA, 711 nt
Filed under: Hevea brasiliensis (rubber tree)
Lineage: Eukaryota; Viridiplantae; Streptophyta; Magnoliopsida; Malpighiales; Euphorbiaceae
Source: RNAcentral
GAAUAAUUUAUCAUUGUCGCUUCUAAGCAAAAGUUUCUCUUGAAAAUGUUCAGCAACUGAUGAUAGAUGGAGAGAACUUCAUCAUCUCCUAGAAAGAGGGAAGAUGAAGGGCUACUUUCAUGCUGGGGUCGUCUCAAGUUGAAGCUUCCAUGGACAAACAGAAGAACAAGCAGCAGCAGCAGCAACAACAACAACAUCCCAACGAACACAAGGCACAGAAGGGUAGGUUGGAACAUAGCAUCAAUUUUUACAAGAGCCAAUAGGCAACCAAGACCAGUUGGUGGUUUUAGGUACGACCCUUUAAGCUAUGCACAAAAUUUUGAUGAGGGCUGUUGGCAUGAUGAUAAUGAGGAUGGCAUAUAUCGUGGGUUCUCUUCAAGAUUUGCCCCUCCUCCAUCAAGAUCGAUUCAUGAAGAUCAUAAAUAACCUGUUCUUGAAUAUGGGAAUUCCUUUUCUGUUCUGGGUUAAUUAAUUACUUUGGAUGCUCAAGGGGAUUAAAUUGCUGGUGUAACUGGUGUUGUGCUGAUGAUCAUGAAGUCCAAUUUCUUGGAUUCAUUUGUAAGGUUUUUAAUACCAUUUUACACAUAUUAGUGUCAUUAUUUUCCAGAUGUCUACAAGUCGUUUUGUAGUCUUCAGCUACAGAAGGCUGAUAAUAUAAUUAAGUAUUAACAAACUUUUAAGAAUUUUUUUUUUUUAACCCUUCUAAAAAAA